GACCACUCAAUUGGCCUAGUGGUUAGAGCGUCCGCUUCGGAUGCGGGUGGUCUCGAGUUCGAACCUCUGUCGAGUCA
Molecule: non-coding RNA, 77 nt
Organism: Potamilus streckersoni
Lineage: Eukaryota; Metazoa; Mollusca; Bivalvia; Unionida; Unionidae
Source: the annotation of a GenBank genome assembly